RNAcentral lists this ribosomal RNA (368 nucleotides) under uncultured organism. Its description in RNAcentral is "bacterial SSU rRNA". It matches the Rfam family "Bacterial small subunit ribosomal RNA", at positions 526 to 896 of the family's 1533-position model. The record is from RNAcentral.
CGGAGGGUGCAAGCGUUAUCCGGAUUCACUGGGUUUAGAGGGAGCGCAGGCGGAUUUGUAAGUCAGUGGUGAAAGGCUUAAGCUUAACUUGGGAACUGCCAUUGAUACUAUAAGUCUUGAAUGUUGUUGAGGUUUGCGGAAUGGGUCAUGUAGCGGUGAAAUGCAUAGAUAUGACCCGGAACACCUAUUGCGAAGGCAGCAGGCUAAACAAAUAUUGACGCUGAGGCUCGAAAGCGUGGGGAUCAAACAGGAUUAGAUACCCUGGUAGUCCACGCCCUAAACUAUGAUUACUCGACAUAUGCGAUACACUGUAUGUGUCUGAGCGAAAGCAUUAAGUAAUCCACCUGGGAAGUACGACCGCAAGGUUG